Molecule: ribosomal RNA, 246 nt
Filed under: uncultured bacterium
Lineage: Bacteria
Description: partial 16S ribosomal RNA
Rfam family: Bacterial small subunit ribosomal RNA
Source: RNAcentral
AGCGAUGGGGUGCGAAUCUCGAAAGCCUAUCUCAGUUCGGAUUGGAGGCUGAAACCCGCCUCCAUGAAGUUGGAUUCGCUAGUAAUCGCGCAUCAGCCAUGGCGCGGUGAAUACGUUCCCGGGCCUUGUACACACCGCCCGUCGCACCAUGGGAGUUUGUAACGCCCAAAGUCGGUGGCCUAACCUUUAUGGAGGGAGCCGCCUAAGGCGGGACAGAUGACUGGGGUGAAGUCGUAACAAGGUACC